Chelonoidis abingdonii (Abingdon island giant tortoise) is the source of this 692-nucleotide non-coding RNA. Lineage: Eukaryota; Metazoa; Chordata; Testudines; Testudinidae. The record is from the annotation of a RefSeq genome assembly.
CAAAUAACGGUCAGAGUUUCCUGUUUAAAUCUGCCCCGCUCUCUGUCCAGGCUGCACUUAAGAGACACAAUCCGCAGCCACCCGUGUCUGUGCAGUUACUGAGAACUGUCCCCUCAAACUCCUGGGGAAAUGAGGCUUUGGGUGUAUCUCGUUCUCACUGCAGCGUGUCUGGAAGGUGUCCGGUCCCAGACGCUGGUGGAGUCCGGAGGUGGAAUUCAGAAGCCUGGGGGAUCUCUCCGCCUCUCGUGCAAAGCCUCCGGCUUCAGCUUCAGCAGCUACGGCAUGAGCUGGGUCCGGCAGGCUCCCGGGAAGGGGCUGGAGUGGCUCGCCUACAUUUACAGCAGCAGCACAUACUACAGUGACUCGGUAAAAGGCCGGUUCACCAUCUCCAGGGAUGAUUCCAAGAGUGAGGUGUAUCUGCAAAUGACCGGGCUGAAGCCCGAGGACACCGCCCGCUAUUACUGUGCGACAGACACAGUGCGGGGAACCCCGACAGGGCUCGUACAAAAACCCGAGACGCAGAACCGCCCUUCCGCCAUGCGCCGCGCGGGGGCAGCACUUCCACAGAUAAUCCAGCUCUGGGCACAUGAACGGGAUCUGCAACCAGAGUGAAGAGCAAAUCAGUCCUCAGGUUUCAGAGCUCAAUAUCCAUCUAUAGAAUCAUAGAAUCCUGGGACUGGAAGGGACCUGGA